RNAcentral lists this ribosomal RNA (484 nucleotides) under uncultured bacterium. RNAcentral's name for it is "bacterial SSU rRNA". It matches the Rfam family "Bacterial small subunit ribosomal RNA", at positions 29 to 513 of the family's 1533-position model. The record is from RNAcentral.
AGUGAACGCUGGCGGCAGGCCUAACACAUGCAAGUCGAACGGCAGCACGGCAGUAGCAAUACUGUGGGUGGCGAGUGGCGGACGGGUGAGGAAUACAUCGGGAUCUACCCUGUUGUGGGGGAUAACGUAGGGAAACUUACGCUAAUACCGCAUAAGAACUGAGGUUGAAAGCGGCGGACCGCAAGGCGUCGCGCGAUUGGAUGAACCGAUGUCCGAUUAGCUAGUUGGCGGGGUAAAGGCCCACCAAGGCGACGAUCGGUAGCUGGUCUGAGAGGACGACCAGCCACACUGGAACUGAGACACGGUCCAGACUCCUACGGGAGGCAGCAGUGGGGAAUAUUGGACAAUGGGCGCAAGCCUGAUCCAGCCAUGCCGCGUGGGUGAAGAAGGCCUCGGUUGUAAGCCUUUGUCCGAAGAAAGACAUCGGUUAUACCGGUGUUCUGACGUACCGGAGAAUAAGACACCGGCUAACUUCGUGCCAGCA